UACGUAGGGUGCAAGCGUUAAUCGGAAUUACUGGGCGUAAAGCGUGCGCAGGCGGUUGUGCAAGACGGAUGUGAAAUCCCCGGGCUUAACCUGGGAAUUGCAUUCGUGACUGCACGGCUAGAGUGUGUCAGAGGGGGGUAGAAUUCCACGUGUAGCAGUGAAAUGCGUAGAUAUGUGGAGGAAUACCGAUGGCGAAGGCAGCCCCCUGGGAUAACACUGACGCCUCAUGCACGAAAGCGUGGGGAGCAAACAGG
This 254-nucleotide ribosomal RNA is filed under the name uncultured bacterium. RNAcentral's name for it is "partial 16S ribosomal RNA". It matches the Rfam family "Bacterial small subunit ribosomal RNA", at positions 524 to 776 of the family's 1533-position model. The record is from RNAcentral.